RNAcentral lists this long non-coding RNA (396 nucleotides) under Bos taurus (domestic cattle). Its description in RNAcentral is "long non-coding RNA NONBTAT025660". The record is from RNAcentral. Lineage: Eukaryota; Metazoa; Chordata; Mammalia; Artiodactyla; Bovidae.
GUGCUUAGUUAAUUAGGAAAUCUCCGUUACCUAACAUUUGAUAGUGGUGAAAUACGAACAGAUACAUCUUGCUGGCGAUUUCACAUGUCUAAGUCUCCCGGUGGUGGGUACAUGGACUUUGUAGUAAUGAUCAGCCUUGGAUGAAAGAAAAACAAAAAUCCCAUGUAGAACUGGGGAACUUCCAGCUUUGCUAGGUAAGGUAUUUUUAGAUUGGGGCUAAUGAACUGCUUUUCAGCCUGAAGUCUUCAGGGACAGGCAGUCUGCAAGUACCAAAUGAAAAGCCAAGCCAGUAUUCUUGAAUGUAUAGAUCCAGUUUGCCAGAUUGAAGGACGCUUGCUCUUUGUAACUAACUGAACUAGCUGGCCCCUGCAUGCCGAGUUUCUAUGGCAAUGUGAU